UCGAGUGUACUCUCCAGCCUGG
Molecule: unclassified non-coding RNA, 22 nt
Filed under: Mus musculus (house mouse)
Lineage: Eukaryota; Metazoa; Chordata; Mammalia; Rodentia; Muridae
Description: oocyte_clustered_small_RNA13253
Source: RNAcentral